AGCUGAGUCAGUGUAGUGGUUAGAGUGUUGGACUGUGACCUGGGAGACCAGGGUUCGAAUCCCUACUCAGCCA
Podarcis lilfordi (Lilford's wall lizard) is the source of this 73-nucleotide non-coding RNA. NCBI's taxonomy places the organism in Eukaryota, Metazoa, Chordata, Lepidosauria, Squamata, Lacertidae. The record is from the annotation of a GenBank genome assembly.